GAUGAAGACACGUAGCGAAAUGCGAUACGUAGUGUGAAUUGCAGAAUUCAGUGAAUCAUCGAAUCUUUGAACGCACAUUGCACCUCUCGGUAUUCCGGGAGGUAUGCCUGUUCGAGCGUCAUUUGUACCCUCAAGCUCUGCUUGGUGUUGGGUGUUUGUUCCGCCUCUGUGUGUGAACUCGCCUCAAAACAAUUGGCAGCCGGCGUACUUGUUUCGGAGCGCAGCACAUUUUGCGAUCCAGAUCAACGUACAGCGGCAUCCAAGAAGCCUUAUUUAACGCUCUUGACCUCGGAUCAGGUAGGGAUACCCGCUGAACUUAAGCAUAUCAAUAAGCGGAGGA
This 340-nucleotide unclassified non-coding RNA is filed under the name soil metagenome. RNAcentral's name for it is "partial contains 5.8S ribosomal RNA, internal transcribed spacer 2, and large subunit ribosomal RNA". The stretch from base 1 to 121 matches the Rfam family "5.8S ribosomal RNA", at positions 35 to 154 of the family's 154-position model. The record is from RNAcentral.